CUUUGUUUCAAACUGAAAAAUAAGCCACUUUUAGCAGGGAAUGCAAGGGACCUCCCUACUGUCACAUGGCAGGAGUGGAACCCAGGACUGAUGGCUUGUGCUCUGCUCGUCUUUCUUUCUCUGGCGCCUACUACUUCAAAGAAACCUUACAAAGGACAAGUGGGAAGUCGCAGAUAGCUGGAUACCCAGCAAAACCUCCCGAGCAGCACUGUGAAGGUAGGACGCCCUUGGCCAGAACAAGGGAGGAC
This is a long non-coding RNA of Lemur catta (Ring-tailed lemur), 248 nucleotides long. RefSeq lists it as uncharacterized. Lineage: Eukaryota; Metazoa; Chordata; Mammalia; Primates; Lemuridae. The record is from RefSeq and is a predicted model, not a curated record. The transcript is spliced from 3 exons.